UUACUGCUCUUAUAAAAGAGAUAUGAGACCUCUUUUUCCUUCUGCCGUGUGAGGACGCAACGAGAAGAUGGCCAGUUGCAAGCCAGGAAAAGUGCGCUUAAUCAGAACCUGACCAAGCUCACUGUGGGCUGCUCUAUCAGAGGUGGUGGGUACAAGGCAGUGCUCUGGACUGCUGGGAAGGACAUCAUCCCACUAGAUAGUGGAGGUAUUACUUCUGAGUUUCAAAAACUUAAGAAAUGAGCAGAUGCUGUGGAAUCAGACACACUUGGAUUGAAGUUGAAUUUCCAUCAGUUUCUACCUGCAUGUCCUUGACUGUGUUACUUACCCUCAUCUAGUCUCGCCCUCUGCAGAAUGGGGAGUAAUAGCACCCACCUCUUGGGUGGUGGUGAGGAUUAAGGGGGAACGUGCCUGUGAAGUUCUCAGCACAGUGCCUGGCACAAAGCAAGCCAUCGGUCAUCAGGCCCUUUACAUAAUCAUCUCUAAUUAUCAUUCUGGGUCCAGUACUAUUCAACAAAUCUGUUUCCUGUGCUUCGGGCACCCAGCAAAGUCUGGCGAUACAAAAGCAGUGGGAGAAUCAGGCCGUGGACAACCAACCAUAACAAUCCUGGAACAAGAAAUUUCAGGGAAAGCAUGUUUAACUCUGCCUGAGGGGCAGAGGGCAGGGGUUCCAGAAGGGUUCCCUAAAGUGACAUUUGUGGUGGGGGUUUCAAAGGAUGAGAAGGAGCAGCUCCAGCAGAGAUGCCACGUGAGGAAAGGGAAGGACCAAUGCAGGGAACCACGAUUGAACCAGACACUCUGGGAAGAGGAAGAGCUGGAACCGCCGAUGGCUCUGGCGGUCAUCCUACAACCAGAAAAGACAGCCCACUGCGCGCUGUCAGAUGACGACUUAGCCACGUCCGGAGAGGAGCAGAGUGCAGCCUCCCUCCCUGUCUCCUGGGUGACAAAGUCUCCGGAUGGCCCCACCAACAAUGAGAUGAAAAUGAAGAGCCCUGCAGUAUAAUGAGGGUGAUAAAAAUAGAGAGUUGCUGAGUAAAGGGCAGGCCACAGUGGAGGAGGAGGAAUCCUGCCCGGAGCAGGUGGACCGGGCCUCCCGGCCUGUGACUCAGACAGACCAGGGCUGGCAGAGGGGGUGGCAGGGAGGUCAGAGAGGGGCCGAAGGGUGGGCUUACUUGAAUGUCCCAAGCAGACGCUGUCCUGGUCACUGUGACUCUGACCUUCACAGCGGGUGGACAAGGUGGGGCCAACACACACGCUGAUGGGGAUUGGGAAAUUCCUGCCCUUGUCUUGAACCUCUUGCCUGUCAAUAAGAGUCAGAAAAUGCGUUAAGAGUUAAUGUGUCAAUUUCUCUUAAAACAUUGCACCUCUUGUCUGUAGUAUGGAGUGGAAGAAGCCUGCUAACCAUGCCUCCUUCCCUCCCUCCUUCCCUUCUUCUUUCCCUUUCUUUCUUCUUUCUUCAGUUGGCAGCUUGGAGUAACUGCCAGCAAAGGCAGCCUCUCCUACAGAAGGAAGGCUUGAGGUGAGCAGGGACAGCUGCAUGUGAUGCCUUCUGGCACCUUGCCCCUCUGCAGUCUUUCUUUUUAAAAUUAUCUUCUAAAAAAUUAAAAUUUAUUCUGAUAUUCAGCCACGAGAAAGGAAGA
Odocoileus virginianus texanus is the source of this 1637-nucleotide non-coding RNA. Lineage: Eukaryota; Metazoa; Chordata; Mammalia; Artiodactyla; Cervidae. The record is from RefSeq and is a predicted model, not a curated record.